AGCUCAAUGAUUUCAACCAGGUACUCUGGUUAUAUACGCUAUUCUGAUUGCCGCUGUUGAAAAAAAAUAAUAUUAUUCAUGAGAGCU
Molecule: small nucleolar RNA, 87 nt
Filed under: Zea mays
Lineage: Eukaryota; Viridiplantae; Streptophyta; Magnoliopsida; Poales; Poaceae
Description: Small nucleolar RNA U54
Rfam family: Small nucleolar RNA U54
About the family: U54 is a C/D box small nucleolar RNA, which acts as a methylation guide for 18S ribosomal RNA in plants.
Source: Rfam by way of RNAcentral